GCCUUUUAUUGCUACAUAUUUAAUAAGUGAGGCAAGCCUCAUGAAGUCUUCAAGAUGGAGCAACUACAUAUCUGCCUUGCCUAGGCAGCCUUACUCUCUCUUAUACUGGACUCAAUCGGAGUUAGAUAGGUACUUGGAAGCAUCACAAAUAAGACAGCGGGCGGUUGAAAGGAUAAAUAACGUCAUUGGAACGUACAAUGACUUAAGGCUCAGAAUAUUUUCCAAGCAUCCUGAUUUAUUUCCUGAAGAGAUAUUCAACAUAGAGACUUUCAACUGGUCAUUUGGAAUUCUCUUCUCACGUUUGGUCAGGUUACCCUCUAUGGAUGGAAGAGUUGCGUUGGUUCCUUGGGCAGAUAUGUUGAAUCAUAAUUGUGAGGUGGAAACAUU
RNAcentral lists this unclassified non-coding RNA (387 nucleotides) under Hevea brasiliensis (rubber tree). The record is from RNAcentral. Lineage: Eukaryota; Viridiplantae; Streptophyta; Magnoliopsida; Malpighiales; Euphorbiaceae.